UGGGGAAUAUUGCACAAUGGACGGAAGUCUGAUGCAGCGACGCCGCGUGGGGGAUGAAGGCUUUCGGGUUGUAAACUCCUUUCAGUACAGAAGAAGCUUUAUUGUGACGGUAUGUGCAGAAGAAGCGCCGGCUAACUACGUGCCAGCAGCCGCGGUAAUACGUAGGGCGCGAGCGUUGUCCGGAAUUAUUGGGCGUAAAGAGCUCGUAGGCGGUUUGUCGCGUCUGCUGUGAAAGACCGGGGCUUAACUCCGGGGCUGCAGUUGGUACGGGCAGGCUGGAGUGCGGUAGGGGUAACCGGAAUUCCUGGUGUAGCGAUGGAAUGCGCAGAUAUCAGGAGGAACACCGCUGGCGAAGGCAGGUUACUGGGCCGUUACUGACGCUGAGGAGCGAAAGCAUGGGGAGCGAACAGG
Molecule: ribosomal RNA, 411 nt
Filed under: Verrucomicrobiota bacterium
Lineage: Bacteria; Pseudomonadati; Verrucomicrobiota
Description: Verrucomicrobia bacterium partial 16S ribosomal RNA
Rfam family: Bacterial small subunit ribosomal RNA
Source: RNAcentral